UAAAAUAUUGAGGCGUUAUGAACAAACCAUUAAUAUUAUCGAAGAUUUUUCGAUAAAUAGUAAUCUCGUUGUAUGCCUAGUCGAAUUUCACAAAUGUGUCAAAUUGUUUUAUCUUUGAGAGAACAUUCUUUAUUGUUUUAUUGGAUCAUAAUCAGUUACUACUCUAUUGAUUGUAUAAAAAAAUAGAAUAUGCAGCAAAUAACAGUGAGACGUAUUUAUAAACAGAAUUUUUGAAGAGAAAUAUCGAAUAACCUACAUCUCAUGACAUAACCAGUGUUGAUCAACGCAUCAUUACGUUUUGUACAUUAUUCUCAUUUCUACUUGAGAAAAAGAACUUAUUAACAAGUGCAUCGCGUAUCAUAGUAUUCGCGAUGAUGUGGCAAGAAAUAACUUUGACAAAGCCGGCACGUAAAAAACCGAAUAUUGACACAUUGAUAGCCGAAUGAUUUUUAAAAAUUUCAUAGAAUAAUUUUUAGCGAAUCCAGUUAUUUUAUUCAAGAAUCUAUCUUUUAUUAUAAAUAUAUCGAUGAUAAAGAAUCAUCAUUCUUGAGGUAUUAUAGUUAUACAUGAAAUGGGUAGUGCUUGGUGGCAGUGUGCUGCAUGUUUGAGAACACAAGAAGAAGAUAUCUGUGAAUUGCACUUAAAUAAUUGUAAUCUUUAUGAUGUACCACCUGAUGUGUUCAUUUAUGAGAGAACAUUGGAAAAACUCUAUCUUGAUGCCAAUAGGAUAAAGGAUCUUCCAAGACCAUUAUUUCAGUGCCAUGAAUUACGAGUACUUUCCCUCAGUGAUAAUGAAGUCACAACGUUACCACCCGCCAUAGCAUCAUUAAUUAACUUGGAAUAUUUAGACCUCAGUAAAAAUAGUAUUAAAGAACUACCAGACAGUAUAAAAGAAUGUAAAAAUCUUCGUUCUAUAGAUAUCAGUGUUAAUCCAUUUGAACGUUUCCCAGAUGCUAUUACACAUAUUGUUGGAUUAAGAGAAUUGUAUAUAAAUGAUGCAUACAUAGAAUAUCUACCAGCAAAUUUUGGAAGACUUUCAGCUUUGAAAACAUUAGAACUUAGGGAAAAUAAUUUGAUGACAUUACCAAAGAGUAUGAGUCGUUUAAUAAAUUUGCAAAGACUUGAUAUUGGUAAUAAUGAUUUUACGGAAUUGCCUGAAGUUGUUGGGGAUCUUAUCAAUCUCACUGAAUUGUGGAUAGAUGGUAAUGAUAUCAGACGUAUACCACUCAACAUUAAUCAGCUUUACCGUUUAAAUCAUUUUGAUUGUACCAUGAAUGCAAUUCAUAUUAUUCCAUCAGAAGUAGAAGGAUGGAGAGAUAUUUCCAUUAUGCAUCUGUCAUCAAAUGAAAUCUAUCAAUUACCAGAUUCUCUUUGUUAUUUACGUACAAUUGUGACUCUUAAAGUUGAUGACAAUCAAUUGAAUGCACUGCCAAAUGACAUUGGACAAAUGUCAAACUUAGAGGAGCUUAUAGUUACUAAGAACUUCCUCGAAUAUUUGCCAUCAUCAAUAGGACUUUUGCGAAAAUUACAUUGUUUAAAUGUAGACAAUAAUUAUUUGAGAUGCCUUCCACCAGAAAUUGGAAGUUGUACGGCGUUAUCAUUGUUGUCAUUGAGAUCAAACAAUUUAACUCGAGUUCCACCUGAAUUGGGACAUUUAUCUUCUUUAAAAGUACUCAAUCUUGUAAACAAUUGCAUUAAAUUUUUGCCCGUUUCUAUGUUAAACUUGAGCAAUUUAAAAGCAUUAUGGCUGAGCGACAAUCAAAGUCAACCAUUAGUGCCAUUGCAACAAGAAUUUAAUUGUGAAGAAGACAUGAUGGUGUUAAGUUGCUUUAUGCUACCACAAAAACCACGGCAAGAACUUGAGCAAAAAACCCCAGCCGUAGGAUUAAUUUCGAGUUCAAUUGUUGGUACUGGAAAAAGAAUAUGUUUUGCUGCUGAAGUAGAAUCUGAGAUCCCUAGACAACUUCACCGAGCACCAACUCCUUAUCCUAAAGAGCUGCGCAAUCUUGCUAGGCAUGCCCGCAAUUUACAUCAUCAAUCAGCACAUGAUGAAAGAAUGCAUUUAGAACAGGAGACUAUGAUCAAAGAAGCUAUUAUUGCUACAACUACUUUGGACCUUACUUCAAAAUCUGGGACCUGUUUUUCACAAAGUUUAUUUAAUAAGGGUUCACAUUCAUCAUUAUCACCAACCGAACAUCAUAUAUCAAAAGAGUGCAAAGCUAAUACUCCUACGGAUAUUGGAACAGAACAAUCUGUUUCAGAAGAAUCUUCCGAUGAAGCGAACAAGACGGUUCUUGCAAAAGAAAAAAGUCCAGAUAUCAGAGAAGCAAAAUAUAUUCGUAAUCCUACAUCUGAAUACAUUUCCAAACCUCCAACAGUAGCAGAUUAUGUAAAUUCUACUUGGAAACCGGAUGAAUAUUCGAAAGCAAAUACAGCAAAAAUUAUUGAAUCAGAAAAGUUUAUAGAACCUUAUAAAAGUAUGCCUAUUAUUAUAAGCAACAAAAAUACUGAUCAUGUUCAAAUAUCAAAAAUAAAUGAAGUACCACCUGUCCCACCACCAUAUCAUAUUGCUGCUGCAUUUUCAAAAAAAGCAGCACUUUUUCAACAAUUAAAUCAAUCAGCCCAAUUGGAUUUGUCUCCUCCACAAAUUGAUAUUAACACAUCAAAUUUAAAAAUAUCACAGGAAACGCAAAUACAAAGUUAUGACGAAGAACAAUAUAAUGAUAAAUUUUCAAAUAAUACAGAUAUAACUAAUAAAACAAAUAAUGAUAAAAAAAUAAAUUCUUUUAAUAAUACUGAUCAAAUACAUAUAUUAACAGAAUCAAUCGAUCCAGAACAAUCCUUAGAAGGAGAUAGAUCAUUAAAGCCAAGUAGAAUUCCUAUUUUAAAGAUAAAACAUUUAGAAAAUACAAAUUCUAUUUCAAACAGCGAUUUAUCAAAUAAAAACUGCACAAAUUCUUCUGUUGAAGAUUAUGAAGCUUUAAAAAUAUUGAACGCAUCAUGUAUACCUACAUCUCCGAUAACAGGAAAAAAAUAUCGAAGUCCGCUUUCUAUGCAACACAAAGUUUCGGAUCGAUCAAAAAAAAUAAUAAAUGGAACUUCAAAUAAUAAUGCUUCCUGUGAUAAUUUAUCUAUGAAUGCAACAAAUUCAACUUUAGUUACAAAUCCAAAUAUGGAAGGAACUUCAAAAACUUUAUCUAUUGAAACAUCAUUAAAUAUGAACAAUUCUGUCAAUAUAAAAAAUGAAGCUAAUUCUGGUCGAAGUACUCCAAUUUUAUCAAAUAAUAAGUUUCCAAAUGAAGUGACUACUUCUAACGUUGAUAAAUAUAAAAUUGUUGGACGGAAUGAAUCAUUAAAUCCAGAAAGAAAACCAAGAUUUAAAUGGAUGUUCGGACCGCAUAAAAACGCUAAUGUUUUGCCUGUUCAAGUGAAAAAAAAUCCUGGUCUUGGUUUUAGUAUAGCAGGUGGAGUAGCAGGAGCCGAAACCGGAAUUAUAGUGACUAAAGUAAAUCCAGAUGGUCCUGCACAAGGUACACUUCGACCAGGAGAUAAAAUUUUAGAAGUGGAUGGCAUUGACUUUACUAAAUCUGAUCAUAACAAUGCUGUGGCUGUUCUUCGAGCAACAGGAGCAGUUGUAUCCAUGAUGAUUAGCCGUCAUCAAUGACAUCUAGUUAAAGAAAAAUAAUCUUUUUUCAUAUACUAGUAAUCAGUUUAUCACAUCAAACUGAAUACAUUUCAUUAAAUCAUACUUUCCGAUAUCAUCGAAUUGAAUUAUACGACUGAAACAGCGUUACCAAAGGUGGGAGUGGUGGCAUUUAUUGAGCAAAUAUUUCUAGCUUCCAAUGGUUACGCCUUAUGAACCGAGCUUUUUUUAAAAAAAAAUAAAUUCAAGAAAAAUUCCGUUCAUAGACUCUUAGAUACCGUAGAUUAGAAAUACGCUCCCUUGCACAAUUUAUGAUAAAAA
This 3964-nucleotide unclassified non-coding RNA is filed under the name Apis dorsata (giant honeybee). RNAcentral's name for it is "protein lap1, transcript variant X1". Lineage: Eukaryota; Metazoa; Arthropoda; Insecta; Hymenoptera; Apidae. The record is from RNAcentral.